This 368-nucleotide ribosomal RNA is filed under the name Salmonella enterica. RNAcentral's name for it is "partial 23S ribosomal RNA". It matches the Rfam family "Bacterial large subunit ribosomal RNA", at positions 2575 to 2925 of the family's 2925-position model. Lineage: Bacteria; Pseudomonadati; Pseudomonadota; Gammaproteobacteria; Enterobacterales; Enterobacteriaceae. The record is from RNAcentral.
GGCUGUUCGCCAUUUAAAGUGGUACGCGAGCUGGGUUUAGAACGUCGUGAGACAGUUCGGUCCCUAUCUGCCGUGGGCGCUGGAGAACUGAGGGGGGCUGCUCCUAGUACGAGAGGACCGGAGUGGACGCAUCACUGGUGUUCGGGUUGUCAUGCCAAUGGCACUGCCCGGUAGCUAAAUGCGGAAGAGAUAAGUGCUGAAAGCAUCUAAGCACGAAACUUGCCCCGAGAUGAGUUCUCCCUGAGACUUUAAGUCUCCUGAAGGAACGUUGAAGACGACGACGUUGAUAGGCCGGGUGUGUAAGCGCAGCGAUGCGUUGAGCUAACCGGUACUAAUGAACCGUGAGGCUUAACCUUACAACGCCGAAG